AGAUUGAACGCUGGCGGCAGGCCUAACACAUGCAAGUCGAGCGGUAGAGAGGUGCUUGCACCUCUUGAGAGCGGCGGACGGGUGAGUAAUGCCUAGGAAUCUGCCUAGUGGUGGGGGAUAACGUUCGGAAACGGACGCUAAUACCGCAUACGUCCUACGGGAGAAAGCGGGGGACCUUCGGGCCUCGCGCCAUUAGAUGAGCCUAGGUCGGAUUAGCUAGUUGGUGAGGUAAUGGCUCACCAAGGCGACGAUCCGCAACUGGUCUGAGAGGGUGAUCAGUCACACUGGAACUGAGACACGGUCCAGACUCCUACGGGAGCAGCAGUGGGGAAUA
This 334-nucleotide ribosomal RNA is filed under the name uncultured soil bacterium. RNAcentral's name for it is "bacterial SSU rRNA". It matches the Rfam family "Bacterial small subunit ribosomal RNA", at positions 26 to 363 of the family's 1533-position model. The record is from RNAcentral.